CGGAAGAAUAAGCACCGGCUAACUACGUGCCAGCAGCCGCGGUAAUACGUAGGGUGCAAGCGUUAAUCGGAAUAACUGGGCGUAAAGGGUGCGUAGGCGGAUAGACAAGUUAGAUGUGAAAUACCUGAGCUUAACUUAGGAGGUGCAUUUAAGACUGUAGAUCUAGAGUUAGUAAGAGGAUGGGGGAAUUCCGAGUGUAGCAGUGAAAUGCGUAGAUAUUCGGAGGAACAUCGGUGGCGAAGGCGCCCAUCUGGGAUAUAACUGACGCUGAGGCACGAAAGCGUGGGGAGCAAACAGGAUUAGAUACCCUGGUAGUCCACGCCCUAAACGAUGUCUACUUGCUGUUG
RNAcentral lists this ribosomal RNA (347 nucleotides) under uncultured bacterium. Its description in RNAcentral is "bacterial SSU rRNA". It matches the Rfam family "Bacterial small subunit ribosomal RNA", at positions 479 to 825 of the family's 1533-position model. The record is from RNAcentral.